RNAcentral lists this ribosomal RNA (265 nucleotides) under uncultured bacterium. RNAcentral's name for it is "partial 16S ribosomal RNA". It matches the Rfam family "Bacterial small subunit ribosomal RNA", at positions 793 to 1055 of the family's 1533-position model. The record is from RNAcentral.
GUCCACGCCGUAAACGAUGAGUGCUAGGUGCUGCGGGUAUUGACCCCUGCGGUGCCGUAGCUAACGCGUUAAGCACUCCGCCUGGGGAGUACGGCCGCAAGGCUAAAACUCAAAGGAAUUGACGGGGGCCCGCACAAGCGGUGGAGCAUGUGGUUCAAUUCGACGCAACGCGCAGAACCUUACCUGGGUUAAAUCCACUCAAAGCUGGCAGAGAUGCCGGGGUGCCCUUCGGGGAAUGAGUGAGAAGGUGCUGCAUGGCUGUCGU